UACGUAGGGGGCGAGCGUUGUCCGGAUUUAUUGGGCGUAAAGAGCGUGUAGGCGGUUUGUCGCGUCUGCCGUGAAAGUCCGGGGCUCAACUCCGGAUCUGCGGUGGGUACGGGCAGACUAGAGUGAUGUAGGGGAGACUGGAAUUCCUGGUGUAGCGGUGAAAUGCGCAGAUAUCAGGAGGAACACCGAUGGCGAAGGCAGGUCUCUGGGCAUUAACUGACGCUGAGAAGCGAAAGCAUGGGGAGCGAACAGG
RNAcentral lists this ribosomal RNA (253 nucleotides) under uncultured bacterium. RNAcentral's name for it is "partial 16S ribosomal RNA". It matches the Rfam family "Bacterial small subunit ribosomal RNA", at positions 524 to 776 of the family's 1533-position model. The record is from RNAcentral.